Molecule: ribosomal RNA, 305 nt
Filed under: uncultured bacterium
Lineage: Bacteria
Description: bacterial SSU rRNA
Rfam family: Bacterial small subunit ribosomal RNA
Source: RNAcentral
ACCUACGGGAGGCAGCAGUGAGGAAUAUUGAUCAAUGGUCGGGAGACUGAACCAGCCAAGCCGCGUGAGGGAUGAAGGUACAGAGUAUCGUAAACCUCUUUUGUCAGGGAACAAAGGCGGGGACGCGUCCCCGGAUGAGUGUACCUGAAGAAAAAGCAUCGGCUAACUCCGUGCCAGCAGCCGCGGUAAUACGGAGGAUGCGAGCGUUAUCCGGAUUUAUUGGGUUUAAAGGGUGCGCAGGCGGUCUGUUAAGUCAGCGGUCAAAGCCCGGGGCUCAACCCCGGCCCGCCGUUGAAACUGGCAGU